CCUACGGGUGGCAGCAGUGAGGAAUAUUGGUCAAUGGACGAGAGUCUGAACCAGCCAAGUAGCGUGAAGGAUGACUGCCCUAUGGGUUGUAAACUUCUUUUAUAUGGGAAUAAAAUGUUCCACGUGUGGGAUUUUGUAUGUACCAUAUGAAUAAGGAUCGGCUAACUCCGUGCCAGCAGCCGCGGUAAUACGGAGGAGCCGAGCGUUAUCCGGAUUUAUUGGGUUUAAAGGGAGCGUAGGGGGGUUGUUAAGUCAGGUGUGAAAGUUUGCGGCUCAACCGUAAAAUUGCAGUUGAAACUGGCAGUCUUGAGUACAGUAGAGGUGGGCGGAAUUCGUGGUGUAGCGGUGAAAUGCUUAGAUAUCACGAAGAACUCCGAUUGCGAAGGCAGUUCACUGGACUGCAACUGACACUGAGGCUCGAAAGUGUGGGUAUCAAACAGGAUUAGAUACCCCUGUAGUC
This 460-nucleotide ribosomal RNA is filed under the name uncultured bacterium. Its description in RNAcentral is "partial 16S ribosomal RNA". It matches the Rfam family "Bacterial small subunit ribosomal RNA", at positions 338 to 795 of the family's 1533-position model. The record is from RNAcentral.